This 436-nucleotide ribosomal RNA is filed under the name uncultured bacterium. RNAcentral describes it as "bacterial SSU rRNA". It matches the Rfam family "Bacterial small subunit ribosomal RNA", at positions 28 to 461 of the family's 1533-position model. The record is from RNAcentral.
GAUGAACGCUGGCGGCGUGCUUAACACAUGCAAGUCGAACGGGAUCCAUCGGGCUUUGCUUGGUGGUGAGAGUGGCGAACGGGUGAGUAAUGCGUGACCGACCUGCCCCAUGCUCCGGAAUAGCUCCUGGAAACGGGUGGUAAUGCCGGAUGUUCCACAUGAUCGCAUGUGAUUGUGGGAAAGAUUUCAUCGGCGUGGGAUGGGGUCGCGUCCUAUCAGCUUGUUGGUGAGGUAACGGCUCACCAAGGCUUCGACGGGUAGCCGGCCUGAGAGGGCGACCGGCCACAUUGGGACUGAGAUACGGCCCAGACUCCUACGGGAGGCAGCAGUGGGGAAUAUUGCACAAUGGGCGCAAGCCUGAUGCAGCGACGCCGCGUGAGGGAUGGAGGCCUUCGGGUUGUAAACCUCUUUUGUUUGGGAGCAAGCCUUCGGGGAG